CCUACGGGUGGCAGCAGUAGGGAAUUUUCGGCAAUGGGGGGAACCCUGACCGAGCAACGCCGCGUGAACGAAGAAGUUAUUCGUAAUGUAAAGUUCUUUUAACAGGGAAGAAAGAGAAAUUUGACGGUACCUGAAGAAUAAGCUCCGGCUAACUACGUGCCAGCAGCCGCGGUAAUACGUCGGGAGCGAGCGUUAUCCGGAAUUAUUGGGCGUAAAGGGUGCGUAGAUGGCAUAGUAAGUCUUUUGUAAAAAGGCUGGGCUCAACCCAGUAGGGCAAAAGAUACUGCAAAGCUAGAGUAUGACAGAGGCAAGUGGAACUACAUGUGUAGCGGUAAAAUGCGUAGAUAUAUGUAAGAACACCAGUGGCGAAGGCGGCUUGCUGGGUCGAUACUGACAUUGAGGCACGAAAGCGUGGGGAGCAAACAGGAUUAGAUACCCGAGUAGUC
This 446-nucleotide ribosomal RNA is filed under the name uncultured bacterium. Its description in RNAcentral is "partial 16S ribosomal RNA". It matches the Rfam family "Bacterial small subunit ribosomal RNA", at positions 338 to 795 of the family's 1533-position model. The record is from RNAcentral.